AGAGUUUGAUCCUGGCUCAGGACGAACGCUGGCGGCGUGCUUAACACAUGCAAGUCGAGCGGAAAGGCCCUUCGGGGUACUCGAGCGGCGAACGGGUGAGUAACACGUGAGUAACCUGCCCCUGACUCUGGGAUAAGCCUGGGAAACCGGGUCUAAUACUGGAUACGACUCCUCAUCGCAUGGUGGGGGGUGGAAAGGGUUCACUGGUUUUGGAUGGGCUCACGGCCUAUCAGCUUGUUGGUGGGGUAAUGGCUCACCAAGGCGACGACGGGUAGCCGGCCUGAGAGGGUGACCGGCCACACUGGGACUGAGACACGGCCCAGACUCCUACGGGAGGCAGCAGUGGGGAAUAUUGCACAAUGGGCGAAAGCCUGAUGCAGCGACGCCGCGUGAGGGAUGACGGCCUUCGGGUUGUAAACCUCUUUCAGUAGGGAAGAAGCGCAAGUGACGGUACCUGCAGAAGAAGCGCCGGCUAACUACGUGCCAGCAGCCGCGGUAAUACGUAGGGCGCAAGCGUUGUCCGGAAUUAUUGGGCGUAAAGAGCUCGUAGGCGGUUUGUCGCGUCCGCUGUGAAAGCCCGGGGCUCAACCCCGGGUCGGCAGUGGGUACGGGCAGACUAGAGUGCAGUAGGGGAGACUGGAAUUCCUGGUGUAGCGGUGAAAUGCGCAGAUAUCAGGAGGAACACCGAUGGCGAAGGCAGGUCUCUGGGCUGUUACUGACGCUGAGGAGCGAAAGCAUGGGGAGCGAACAGGAUUAGAUACCCCGGUAGUCC
This 772-nucleotide ribosomal RNA is filed under the name uncultured Kocuria sp. Its description in RNAcentral is "bacterial SSU rRNA". It matches the Rfam family "Bacterial small subunit ribosomal RNA", at positions 8 to 796 of the family's 1533-position model. Lineage: Bacteria; Bacillati; Actinomycetota; Actinomycetes; Micrococcales; Micrococcaceae. The record is from RNAcentral.